This 247-nucleotide long non-coding RNA is filed under the name Ictidomys tridecemlineatus (thirteen-lined ground squirrel). RNAcentral's name for it is "lncRNA (ENSSTOG00000032709.1)". Lineage: Eukaryota; Metazoa; Chordata; Mammalia; Rodentia; Sciuridae. The record is from RNAcentral.
ACAGAAGAUUCCAGGGCUGAGGACUUCACCCCUCACACACAGGCUUCUCUAGCUCACUCUGAGAUGUGAUCCAGACAUUUCCAUGGGAACUUUCUGGGCUGUUCUGACUAUGGGGAAGAAAAGGAGGAAGGAACCAGGCGUAGUGGCGAACGCUUGUAAUCCCAGCGGCUUGGGAGGCUGAGACAGGAGGAGUGUGAGUUCAAAGCCAGCCUCAGCAAAAGCGAGGUGCUAAGCAACUCAGUGACAU